AGAGUUUGAUCCCAGCUCAGGAUGAACGCUAGCGGUGCGCUUAACACAUGCAAGUCGUGCGAUCGAACCAGACGGAUUUUCCUUCGGGAACUGAAGACUGGUCACGGAGCGGCGAACUGGUGAGUAACACGUAGCUAACCUGCCCUCUUGACGGGGACAACCUACCGAAAGGAGGCUAAUACCCGAUGUUGUGCGGAGUUGAUGGAUUCCGUACCAAAGACGGUUCUGCCGUCACAAGAGGAGGGGGCUGCGUCCUAUUAGCUUGUUGGUAGGGUAAUGGCCUACCAAGGCAAUAAUGGGUAGCUGGUCUGAGAGGAUGAUCAGCCACAUUGGGACUGAGAUACGGCCCAGACUCCUACGGGAGGCAGCAGUGGGGAAUAUUGGACAAUGGACGAAAGUCCGAUCCAGCGACACCGCGUGGGGGAUGAAGGCUUUCGGGUCGUAAACCCCUUUUCUGGGGGAAGAAUAAGGUUGGGAGGAAAUGCCCAUCCGAUGACGGUACUCCAGGAAUAAGCAUCGGCAAACUUCGUGCCAGCAGCCGCGGUAAGACGAGGGAUGCAAGCGUUAUCCGGAAUUACUGGGCGUAAAGGACGUCUAGGCGGUUGGAUAAGUCAUUUGUGAAAUCCCAGGGCUUAACCCUGGAAGGUCUUGUGAUACUGUCCAGCUUGGGUGUAGGAGAGGAGAGCGGAACUCACAGAGUAGCGGUGGAAUGCGUAGAUACUGUGAGGUACCCCGAUGGCGAAGGCAGCUCUCUGGCCUAUUACCGACGCUGAAGCGUGGAAGCGUGGGGAGCAAAGGGGAUUAGAUACCCCCGUAGUCCACGCCCCAAACGAUGUUCACUUGGUGUCGGGAGCCUAUAUAUCUCGGUGCCGGAGCUAACGCGUUAAGUGAACCGCCUGAGGAGUACGGCCGCAAGGCUAAAACUCAAGAGAAUUGACGGGUCCCCGCACAAGCGGUGGAGCACGUGGUUUAAUUCGACGAUAAGCGAAGAACCUCACCUGGGCUUGACAUACUAGUGGUAAGAACCGGAAACGGUGAUGACCCUGCCUUCGGGUAGGGAGCUAAUACAGGUGAUGCAUGGCUGUCGUCAGCUCGUGUCGUGGGAUGUAGGGUUAAGUCCCGAAACGAGCGCAACCCUUGUCACUAGUUGCCAGCGGAUAAUGCCGGGGACUCUAGUGAGACUGCUGGUGAAUAGCCGGAGGAAGGCGGGGAUGACGUCAAGUCAUCA
RNAcentral lists this ribosomal RNA (1228 nucleotides) under metagenome. Its description in RNAcentral is "bacterial SSU rRNA". It matches the Rfam family "Bacterial small subunit ribosomal RNA", at positions 8 to 1195 of the family's 1533-position model. The record is from RNAcentral.